This 464-nucleotide ribosomal RNA is filed under the name uncultured bacterium. Its description in RNAcentral is "bacterial SSU rRNA". It matches the Rfam family "Bacterial small subunit ribosomal RNA", at positions 331 to 792 of the family's 1533-position model. The record is from RNAcentral.
CCAGACUCCUACGGGAGGCAGCAGUGAGGAAUAUUGGUCAAUGGGCGGAAGCCUGAACCAGCCAAGUCGCGUGAGGGAUUAAGGCCCUAUGGGUCGUAAACCUCUUUUGUCAGGGAGCAAGGUCGUCCACGUGUGGGCGUAUGGAGAGUACCUGAAGAAAAAGCAUCGGCUAACUCCGUGCCAGCAGCCGCGGUAAUACGGAGGAUGCGAGCGUUAUCCGGAUUUAUUGGGUUUAAAGGGUGCGUAGGCGGGACCUUAAGUCAGCGGUAAAAUUGCGGUGCUCAACGCCGUAGAGCCGUUGAAACUGGGGCUCUUGAGUGAGCGAGAAGUAUGCGGAAUGCGUGGUGUAGCGGUGAAAUGCAUAGAUAUCACGCAGAACCCCGAUUGCGAAGGCAGCUUACUAAACUGUGACUGACAUUGAUGCUCGAAAGUGUGGGUAUCAAACAGGAUUAGAUACCCGAGUA